This 346-nucleotide ribosomal RNA is filed under the name uncultured bacterium. RNAcentral describes it as "bacterial SSU rRNA". It matches the Rfam family "Bacterial small subunit ribosomal RNA", at positions 8 to 334 of the family's 1533-position model. The record is from RNAcentral.
AGAGUUUGAUUCUGGCUCAGGACGAACGCUGGCGGCGUGCCUAAUACAUGCAAGUCGAACGCUUUUCUUUCCACCGGAGCUUGCUCCACCGGAAAGAAAAGAGUGGCGAACGGGUGAGUAACACGUGGGUAACCUGCCCUCAAGCGGGGGAUAACACUUGGAAACAGGUGCUAAUACCGCAUAACAAUAGAAGGAGCAUUUCUUCUGUUUGAAAGUCGCAACUGCGACACUUGAGGAUGGACCCGCGGUGCAUUAGCUAGUUGGUGAGGUAACGGCUCACCAAGGCCACGAUGCAUAGCCGACCUGAGAGGGUGAUCGGCCACACUGGGACUGAGACACGGCCCAG